Rhipicephalus microplus (southern cattle tick) is the source of this 1271-nucleotide long non-coding RNA. The record is from RefSeq and is a predicted model, not a curated record. Lineage: Eukaryota; Metazoa; Arthropoda; Arachnida; Ixodida; Ixodidae.
GGAUGCUUCGCCCCACUCUCCAUCAUUCACCCCUUAGAUAUGCUGCCAUUUUUUUAUUGAAUGAAACAUCAUAAAGUGGCACUAGAAAUAUGUACAGGUACAGACAUACAAUAAACAGCCACAUAUGUUUUAUAUAACCAGUUCUUUACAGCUGCAUAACGAUGCCAACAGCAAGGUGGACGUUAGCAACACCAGAAGCGAUAAGCUGAUGUGAAGCACUGGUGCGCACGAGGGUGGUAGACCUAGACACUACUACAUAAAUCAACUUCAGUGGAUGGCACCUAACUACAAAUGACAGGCUAACGUGACGGCUGUGUUAUAGAAGUACAUAUGUAAUUUUUAAUAUUAGAUAGCCUGCACUUCAACCAACAUUGACGGUUCACAACCAUGUAAGUCUAUUUGAAAAGUAGAUCUGAAACCAAACCUGGCAUGACCCUGUAGUAGAAUACUUGAUCGCCACGCAGAAUGGUGGAGUUGAUUCCUUUGUAAGCCUGACAUUUAGUGUUUCCAUUUAUUAGGUCAACGCAGCUAAUGCGAGAGUUUUCUUAACGCUAAUGCAAUAAAAUUAUCCCUGUGUGUUCUCGCCGUUGCUGGGUCGAUAUAAAGUGUCAAUCACCUGUGGUACGUACCCGCAUACCAGUGGCACAUACCAGCCUGCAGGUAUGUGUUAUUGUUUGGCGGAAUGUGACCAUGUACGUGAAGAGAUUGUGCCAUUGUCAUGACUAGCGAGACGUAUUCGUCAAACCAUCAUACUAAUUUUGGUUCAUCUUAAGUUUGUAGUGGAGCACGACAGCCUAGUUGCAGGGACAUGACUGGCCCUUCGAGAGUCAAUAAAGCCUAAGCAAUGGAACAUCCCCACGGCCAGCGCACGGAACGGGUUUCCCCUCCUUCAGCGAGGGCACGAAUACUCGUCAAGAAAGGGAAACCGGGACGGAAAAGAAAACCAGCGUGCCGACAAUCGGACGCUCUCUCUGACACCGGCGAAGGUAGAAGGAGGUUGGACCUGUAACCACCUGCGAGCCAAGGACGAUGACAACAAAGGUAGACACUGUGUGCGUCCGUCAAGGACACGGUGCUUUUGAAGAGACACUCGACGUGUCCUUCAUGGACAACAGAGGCGUCCAUCAAAUAUUCUGCACGCGUCCAGCAGCGGGGCUGCCUUCUCCUCCUUCAGCGUCUCGGCGCCUACAACAGGCCGGCACAUCUAGCGUCGGGCGGCUUCCUCGUCCACGUUCUGUACAUAGGUUGUAAAUAUAAACGCUUUGUUUCUU